GGGGGCGACCGGUUUCGACAUGAUAGCUCUGAGAAGGUAAGCAGGCCGUGGUCUCCUCGCCACGCUAAACAGGGGUACCGUCAAAAUUAAUUGACAACAAUCGUUAUGCCCUCGCAGCUUAAUUAAGCUGCGACGUCAAGGGAAGAUGUGCUCCCGGUCUUCCUACGACGUCAUCCUCGGGAGCUGCUCUCCUGCACGUGGUUGGUAUGGCAGGGGAUAAGACCGAACCAGCUGGAUGGUCGACGGCGUGCGGACAGGUGGCCGAUCAUCGAGACUGCACUGUCAGCUGAGCUUGGAGAAAGCCUUCAGGGGGUUGUCAUGGACCGGAGUUCGAUUCUCCGCGCCUCCACCA
Molecule: transfer-messenger RNA, 352 nt
Filed under: Actinomycetota bacterium
Lineage: Bacteria; Bacillati; Actinomycetota
Rfam family: transfer-messenger RNA
About the family: Bacterial tmRNA, also known as 10Sa RNA or SsrA, is named for its dual tRNA and mRNA-like properties. Its role is to liberate the mRNA from a stalled ribosome.
Source: RNAcentral